GGUCAAUCUUAAAUGUCGAUA
Molecule: non-coding RNA, 21 nt
Filed under: Arabidopsis thaliana (thale cress)
Lineage: Eukaryota; Viridiplantae; Streptophyta; Magnoliopsida; Brassicales; Brassicaceae
Source: RNAcentral